ACAUUAGUUAUAUAAUCUCCUAUGAAAUGGUUCAUCUAAAUCUAUGUUUGUUAGUUAUAUGCAAGAUAUGGCAUGGUAUGGCACACUGCAUGUGUAAAAGUGGAUGAAAGCACUAAAGAAAACGAUAACGAUAAACUUUAAAGCAGAAUCUUGUCAUGCGAUUAUGGUGGCGAUAUGAGAGAACUACUGUGG
Hydra vulgaris (swiftwater hydra) is the source of this 192-nucleotide non-coding RNA. Lineage: Eukaryota; Metazoa; Cnidaria; Hydrozoa; Anthoathecata; Hydridae. The record is from RefSeq and is a predicted model, not a curated record.